Molecule: long non-coding RNA, 2168 nt
Organism: Terrapene triunguis (Three-toed box turtle)
Lineage: Eukaryota; Metazoa; Chordata; Testudines; Emydidae
Exons: 3
Source: RefSeq, a predicted model, not a curated record
UGGCUAAUCGGACUGCUAGAAGGAAUCUGGCUACCUAUGGAUGGUCUGCAAGGAGGGCAAGGAUCCUACAAAUAGCACAAUAUUAAGAGCAGACACCUGACAUGAAAUGAUACUCAGCUGAAGGUCUCGGUCUAUGCCUUCUUGGAGAAAGUCCAGAAUGCCUGGAAUUCCAGGAUUUCUGGGAUUUGCAUUGUGUUCUUGGUACCAGUUGUAGAAUCUGGAUCAGAGAGAGCAGGAUAUUUUUAGUACUGAUACUCUCCUAGAUGAAAGCAAUGUUUUAAUGAAUCCGGAAGAUGGAUCAAGACCUUCUAGUGUUUCCCUGUCAAUUGCCAGGCUGUUAGUUGAAGCUGUUUUGGGUCUAGCUGAAGAACAGGACCUUUGAAAGGAUGUCCGGUCUCCACAGAACCUGGAGUGGGAGUUCCAGUUUCAGCUCUAUCAGGUCUGAGAACCAAGGUCUCCUUGGCCAAUGAGGAGUUAUAAGAAUUACUGUCGCCUGCUCUCGUUUUAUUUUCUGAAUCACCUUCCUCAGUAGCAGAAAAGGUGGAAACACAUCAAGUAGGCCCUAUGGCCAACUGUGCAAUCAGGCAUCUGUGCCCAUGACUCUGGGGUCUGCUUCAUUUGUGAAGUAUUUUGGCUUCUUUGCAUUUGUAUGAUUCACAAAUGGGUCGGUUGAAGGGAGGCAGAACGUCUGAAUGGUGAGUCCUGAUUCAGACAUCAUUUGGAGUUUUUGACCCUGCGCCUGGUGAGACCAUCUGCCCUUUUGUGGUUCAGGUCCACUUUGAUGUGGAUCACCCUGAGGAAAAGGCAGAACUGUUCCAUCCACCUCACUAUUUCCAUUGCUUCCACACUUAGUGCUGGACGCCUUGUUCCCCAUUGGCUGUUUAAAUACGCAAACGUAGUCAUAUUGUCUGAUUGAACCAGGACAUGGUUCCCCCUUAGAGUGAGCUGGAACCUUUGCAGAGCUAGCUGGACAGCUCUCAGCUCUAGGAGGUUUAUGCAGUUUUGCCUUUUUCUCCUAGCUCCAGAGGCCCUGGGCUGUUUGGGUCUCCAAGUGAGCUCCCCAGCCCUCCAAGCUGGCCUUGGUUGCGAGGAUUGAAGGAUCUGAAAGGCAGAUGGACAUACCUUUGCAGGCAUUAUCAUGGGCUGACCACCAUUGUAAGGAGUUAAAUACCUAUGUUGGAACCUGUACUUGAUCUUUCAUGUGUUCCAGGGAAUGGUCCCACACCUUUAGUAUGAAGGCUUGAAGAUGUCUGAUGAGUGAUUGUGCCCAUGGAGUGAUGCCUAUGCACAGUACCAUGAGUCCUAGCACAGCACAGUGCUAUGGUGGUUAUUCUGUUGGAUGGAACCAGAGAACUUUUCUUGGCACUGAUGAUGAAGCCGUGCCCCUGGAGGAGAUUCAACAUCCAAGAUGUGGUCCUCUGCACUGCUGGAGUUCUGAUUGGGAUGUUGUCGAGAAUAGAGUACAGGUGAACCUCAGAAGUCUGCGGUGGCAUGAUCGGAUGGGGAUAUGGAGAUAUGCGUCUGCAAGAGGUACUGAAGUCAAGAAGUCCCUCUGGACAGGGAGGACACUGUAGAGGCCAGGGUCUCCAUCAGAAACAUUGUUUUCCUCAUCCACUUGUUCAGCCUUUUGAGGUUGAGAAUGGCUCUGAUACCCACCAUGUGCUUCUGCACAAUGAAGAAGAUGGAGUACAACCCGGCAAACCUUUUUCUGAGGGAACAGUCUGUGUCAUGCCAAUAUCCAGAAGAUGAGAUAUUUCAUUCUGGAUCAAAUUGUUUUUUACAGGGUUGUUGAAACUAGGUGACUGGAUGAAGAAUGGAUGGGGUGGAGCCCACAGUUCGAGGGACUAUCCCUGGCUCACUAUCACCCUGAUUAACUUCUCUGUGGUUAAAGAAAAACAUUCUUCUAGAAAAUGGGGAAUUCUGCCCCCUCGCUUCUCUCCGGGGCGGAGGCCUACGUAAUCUUCGUCAUAAAUUGGAUUUUAGGGGAGCUGAGGUCCCUCUGGACUUUCCCCAUGGACUUUGACCCUACUGUUUUCCCUUGGGGAACCUGCUGUCCCUUCGCACUUACCUCUGUGAGGACAAGUAGCGAAAGGCCAGACUUCCACCUUAAUUGAAUUGGCUCGUUAGCACUGACCCCCCAUUUGGUAAGGCAACUCCCAUCUUUUCAU